This 688-nucleotide ribosomal RNA is filed under the name uncultured bacterium. Its description in RNAcentral is "bacterial SSU rRNA". It matches the Rfam family "Bacterial small subunit ribosomal RNA", at positions 44 to 715 of the family's 1533-position model. The record is from RNAcentral.
AUGCUUAACACAUGCAAGUCGAACGGCAGCGCGUUUUUUCCUUCGGGAAUUAAUGGCGGCGAGUGGCGGACGGGUGAGUAACGCGUAGGAAUCUACCUUUAAGCGGGGGACAACCUGAGGAAACUCGGGCUAAUACCGCAUGUGCUCUACGGAGUAAAGCUGGGGACCCCUCGGGGCCCAGCGCUUAAAGAUGAGCCUGCGUCAGAUUAGCUUGUUGGUGAGGUAAAGGCUCACCAAGGCGACGAUCUGUAGCUGGUUUGAGAGAAUGAUCAGCCACACUGGGUCUGAGACACGGCCCAGACUCCUACGGGAGGCAGCAGUGGGGAAUAUUGGACAAUGGGCGAAAGCCUGAUCCAGCAAUACCGCGUGUGCGAUGAAGGCUCUAGGGUCGUAAAGCACUUUCAGUAGUGAAGAAAGCUAGGAGGUUAACAACUGCCUAGUUUGACGUUAGCUACAGAAGAAGCACCGGCUAACUCUGUGCCAGCAGCCGCGGUAAGACAGAGGGUGCAAGCGUUAAUCGGAAUUACUGGGCGUAAAGAGCGCGUAGGUGGAAAUUUAGGUCAGAUGUGAAAGCCCUGGGCUCAACCUAGGAACUGCAUUUGAUACUGAAUUUCUUGAGUAUGGCAGAGGAAAGUGGAAUUUCCGGUGUAGGGGUGAAAUCCAUAGAUAUCUGAAGGAACACCAGUGG